GAUGAACGCUAGCGGCAGGCUUAACACAUGCAAGUCGAGGGGUAUAGUUCUUCGGAAUUAGGAGACCGGCGCACGGGUGCGUAACGCGUAUGCAAUCUACCUUUCACAGAGGGAUAGCCCCAGAGAAAUUUGGAUUAAUACCUCAUAGUAUAGCAGUUUCGCAUGAAACCACUAUUAAAGUCACAACGGUGAAAGAUGAGCAUGCGUCCCAUUAGCUAGUUGGUAAGGUAACGGCUUACCAAGGCAACGAUGGGUAGGGGUCCUCGAGAGGGGAGAUCCCCCACACUGGUACUGAGA
RNAcentral lists this ribosomal RNA (297 nucleotides) under uncultured bacterium. RNAcentral's name for it is "partial 16S ribosomal RNA". It matches the Rfam family "Bacterial small subunit ribosomal RNA", at positions 28 to 324 of the family's 1533-position model. The record is from RNAcentral.